GUUUGAUCCUGGCUCAGGAUGAACGCUGGCGGCGUGCCUAAUACAUGCAAGUCGAGCGAACAGAUGAGAAGCUUGCUUCUCUGAUGUUAGCGGCGGACGGGUGAGUAACACGUGGGUAACCUACCUAUAAGACUGGGAUAACUCCGGGAAACCGGGGCUAAUACCGGAUAAUAUUUUGAACCGCAUGGUUCAAUAGUGAAAGACGGUUUCGGCUGUCACUUAUAGAUGGACCCGCGCCGUAUUAGCUAGUUGGUAAGGUAACGGCUUACCAAGGCGACGAUACGUAGCCGACCUGAGAGGGUGAUCGGCCACACUGGAACUGAGACACGGUCCAGACUCCUACGGGAGGCAGCAGUAGGGAAUCUUCCGCAAUGGGCGAAAGCCUGACGGAGCAACGCCGCGUGAGUGAUGAAGGUCUUCGGAUCGUAAAACUCUGUUGUUAGGGAAGAACAAAUUUGUUAGUA
RNAcentral lists this ribosomal RNA (464 nucleotides) under Mammaliicoccus sciuri. Its description in RNAcentral is "bacterial SSU rRNA". It matches the Rfam family "Bacterial small subunit ribosomal RNA", at positions 11 to 463 of the family's 1533-position model. Lineage: Bacteria; Bacillati; Bacillota; Bacilli; Caryophanales; Staphylococcaceae. The record is from RNAcentral.